GGGAAAAAGUUCAUCAAUUGGGGAAAGUAAUGAGAUGGUCAGUGUCUGUACAGGUUCAACGAACAGCAAUUUCAUUGUGCUGUCUCAUCAUAGGCUAAAUAUCCUUCGAGAACAAUCAAAUCCCCAAAAAAUUAUUAAGAAUUCUUGGCGGGCAGUAUUCUGCUGACAGAUUUGGUCAUGGCUCUUGCAUAUGCAUGCAACAUUGGCAUCAUCUUGUGCUUUUGUCCUUAGCUUGCAAAUGAAUUGAGAUUUCCCGACUUCACCUAGCGGUUUCUUCCUCGCGCAGUUACACUGAAAAAUGGGUUCCAAUAUUUUGGGCCCUUAAACAGAUCUUCCAAUGAUUCAAAUCUCUGUGUCCCCGUCUUGUGUCCUCCUAACUGAGAAGUUCAUUCCUCAAAGUGCUUUGAUCAGUUGUCUAGAGAAACGCUCGCUUCAAAAAUAAAAGUCAGAGCUCAUAUUCU
This 461-nucleotide unclassified non-coding RNA is filed under the name Hevea brasiliensis (rubber tree). Lineage: Eukaryota; Viridiplantae; Streptophyta; Magnoliopsida; Malpighiales; Euphorbiaceae. The record is from RNAcentral.